AUUUUAGUACUUAUGUUAGAACCGUGGGAAGGUUGCUAAGGAAGCCCAAGGCUGCAGGGUCUGCACCACACUGGGCAGUCUGCACUCAGUGGAAAACAAAGGAUAAUUUUCAAGGCAGUGGAGGGAAGCUGAGACAUGCAUCUGCUGGAUGUAACACAUGGAUAUGGACACUGCUCCAUCUGGCAGUAUUGCACUCUCCUCUCCUUGUAAAAUCUGGUCAAUGGAGAGUUUCUAAAGAGGUGAGAUGUAAAGGAAAAAUUGUUGCCACAAAGUCAUUUUCCAGCCUGUUCAGAAAAUAUAAAGCAAAACAUAGUGAUUCGUUGCAAGACAAGGAGAGAUGGGUCCAAAUCUGUUUUUCAUAUACAAAUCUCAGAAUUCCUCUCUUAGGUCUACAAAGAAAUCUUAAAGGUUUAUGAAUAUUUAUUAAAAAAAACAAAACAAGAAACUGUCAGCAGGCAUCUACCUUUCAUCAUCACCUACAGCAAAUCUAAUUCAGUCCAUGAUAUUUCAAAAGAAUUUCUCACUGAAGUAUUUGAAAUACAUUACAUAACUAGGAGUGAGGAAGGGCCAUGAGUACUAACAGUACAAUGAGGUCAACAUCUUUCACUUCCUUUUAAUAAAAUACUAUAUUUUGCUUGUUAUGUGGAGUUU
This 651-nucleotide long non-coding RNA is filed under the name Zonotrichia albicollis (white-throated sparrow). Its description in RNAcentral is "lncRNA (ENSZALG00000000809.1)". Lineage: Eukaryota; Metazoa; Chordata; Aves; Passeriformes; Passerellidae. The record is from RNAcentral.